CCUACGGGUGGCUGCAGUGGGGAAUAUUGCACAAUGGGGGAAACCCUGAUGCAGCGACGCCGCGUGAGUGAUGAAGUAUUUCGGUAUGUAAAGCUCUAUCAGCAGGGAAGAUAAUGACGGUACCUGACUAAGAAGCUCCGGCUAAAUACGUGCCAGCAGCCGCGGUAAUACGUAUGGAGCAAGCGUUAUCCGGAUUUACUGGGUGUAAAGGGAGCGCAGACGGCAGGGCAAGUCUGAUGUGAAAGUCCGGGGCUCAACCCCGGGACUGCAUUGGAAACUGUCCGGCUAGAGUGCAGGAGAGGUAAGUGGAAUUCCUAGUGUAGCGGUGAAAUGCGUAGAUAUUAGGAGGAACACCGAUUGCGAAGGCAGCUUACCAAGCUACUUCUGACGUUGAGGCACGAAAGCGUGGGGAGCAAACAGGAUUAGAUACCCCUGUAGUC
This 440-nucleotide ribosomal RNA is filed under the name uncultured bacterium. RNAcentral's name for it is "partial 16S ribosomal RNA". It matches the Rfam family "Bacterial small subunit ribosomal RNA", at positions 338 to 795 of the family's 1533-position model. The record is from RNAcentral.